This 1927-nucleotide long non-coding RNA is filed under the name Heterocephalus glaber (naked mole-rat). RNAcentral describes it as "lncRNA (ENSHGLG00100017377.2)". Lineage: Eukaryota; Metazoa; Chordata; Mammalia; Rodentia; Bathyergidae. The record is from RNAcentral.
AGCUGGUGGUGCCUGGGGCUGGCAGGGGAAAACUUACAUACAGGGUCCUGCGGGCUGAGGCAGGACACCUAGUUUUGCUAACUGGGAAGGGUUUUUGCACAGAAGGGCUUCGAUGCUAUGCAUCACACUGUGGCAUGAAUGCGUGGCUCUUGGUUGUGCAGAGGGCACACAGUGGUGCGUGUCUGGCAGCUGUACUCCCUGCUGAGGGCCCACGCCUUGGAUGUGCCCUCGGGCUUUCCACACCAUUCCCACUGAGCACAAUGAGGGCCGCACCGGGCUGGGCAGGGACAAGAGGGGCCAGAGCCCUGAAGGGUGGGCAGUGAUGCUGUGCUGAGACCGGGUACCAGGUGCUAAACUGGACAGGCCAUGUUGGCUGAACACAAUGUGAGCAAGGCCGAUGCUAGUUGAAAAAGUGAUCGAUCACACGACUGCAAUGCACCCUUGCUGCCUGCACUGAGCCUCCAACUCCUCGCCUGGGGAUAAGGGAGGAGGUACCUGGGUCUCACCUGUGGCUCCCCUGCCCAGCCAAGGCCACCAAAGCAAAACUUGAGAGAGUUUUCAAGGAUGGACUUAUUUACUUCCAACAGCACUUUAGGAUGAGGGUGAUCACGCCGCCCUCUGAUGAUCCCCACACCCCACCCAGCCAGCACCCCACACAACACCGCAUGGGGUCUGAAAGGGCCACAGCCAGAUAGCAACUGGACCCCAACACCCAGGCCCCACCACCCCAGUUUGCAGGUCCAGACAGCAAGAACCAAACAUGGUGUGUUUGGGAAGAGCCCACAUGUUUGUGCCACGUGGGUGGACCCCAUACCCCGCAGGCCACCUGCUUUCUACUUUGGCAAAAAAACCCAAAAACCCUGGGAGCUUCAAGAACAUGAAGUGAACUUUAGGAAACAGGAAAAAAAAACCCCAAAGCAGCAGCCCGUGCCCAAAGCCCUCUCCGUCUGCCCAGCUGCCCCUUACAUAGCAGGCCGUCCUCACAGAGCCCUGGAGGUUUCCAAGCUGAGGAGUGGGCGGGUGGCAGCCCAGGUCACCUGUCAUUUAGUGGCAGGACAGACAUGGUGGCAUCACAGAAGGAGAGGCAUCAGGAAAGGAGGUGGUGCCACCACAGGAGCCCACACCUCAGUCAGUGAUGUGGGCAACACAGAGCUCGGCCCAGUGUUCCACGGUACCUCCAGAAGGGCCACGCGAGGGAGAGGGGCCCAGGCAACGGCACUGUCUUCAGGGACUGAGGCGCAAGGGCAGGAGGCUAAGCAGGGCCAGCAGCUGGCAGCUGUGGCUGGGCCUAGGCUGGAUGGACAGGGGAAGGGCAGGGGCCCCUCCCACAAAGGCCCUGGGGCGGUGUUGGUGGCACUCGAUGUCCCUGACACACAGGUCCACUCUCCUCUCCUGCAGGGCAGUGGGGGUGUCGGGGAGCUGCCUGUCAAGUGGGGUGGCCAGGAUCCCUCCAGCCGCAGGGAGCGGCAGGCCAGCAGUCACAACCCCAGCAGGGGACACGGGGGAGCCCAGGGUCACAGACAUUACCCACACACACCUGUGCCAAAUCAACUCCAGGACACAGCCCCACUAUUCAACCCAGGACAAGCAGGAUCAGCCCAAGGCUGCCAGGCCUGGUGGUGAGAGGAGCAGAAGGUGAGAGUGGCAGGGUGGGGACAGACGCCUCUGAGAUGUCACAGUAUGGUGGGCAGCUAGUUCCGCAAGGCAGCCAACCUAGGAGGCAACGCAAGACUCAGAUGGGCAGGGCAGGGCAGGGAUUCGAAGCACUGCACCCCAUCCGAAGUGAGCCAGAGUCCCGCCCCAGUGCCACUGUUAUGCCCCGGGUCUCCACAGCACAAGACUGUCCUGCAAUAGCACUAAUGACAGAUGCCAGUACCGGGAGCAGCAAAGAGCCCUCCCCCAACUGAGCUGCACGAGGACAGACCGC